This 253-nucleotide ribosomal RNA is filed under the name uncultured bacterium. RNAcentral's name for it is "partial 16S ribosomal RNA". It matches the Rfam family "Bacterial small subunit ribosomal RNA", at positions 524 to 776 of the family's 1533-position model. The record is from RNAcentral.
AACGUAGGUUCCGAGCGUUAUCCGGAUUUACUGGGCGUAAAGCGCGUUCAGGCGGUUUGGCAAGUCGGGCAUGAAAUCUCUCGGCUCAACCGGGAGAGGUUGUCCGAUACUUCCAGACUUGAGGGCAGUAGAGGGUGGUGGAAUUCCGGGUGUAGUGGUGAAAUGCGUAGAGAUCCGGAGGAACACCGACGGCGUAGGCAGCGCCCUGGACGACACCUGACGCUGAGGCACGAAAGCUGGGGGAGCAAACAGG